This 490-nucleotide ribosomal RNA is filed under the name uncultured bacterium. RNAcentral describes it as "bacterial SSU rRNA". It matches the Rfam family "Bacterial small subunit ribosomal RNA", at positions 28 to 507 of the family's 1533-position model. The record is from RNAcentral.
GAUGAACGCUAGCUACAGGCUUAACACAUGCAAGUCGAGGGGAAACGACAUCGAAAGCUUGCUUUUGAUGGGCGUCGACCGGCGCACGGGUGAGUAACGCGUAUCCAACCUGCCCACCACUUGGGGAUAACCUUGCGAAAGUAAGACUAAUACCCGAUGAUAUCCCUAGACGACAUCUGAAAGGGAUUAAAGAUUUAUCGGUGAUGGAUGGGGAUGCGUCUGAUUAGCUUGUUGGCGGGGUAACGGCCCACCAAGGCAACGAUCAGUAGGGGUUCUGAGAGGAAGGUCCCCCACAUUGGAACUGAGACACGGUCCAAACUCCUACGGGAGGCAGCAGUGAGGAAUAUUGGUCAAUGGGCGAGAGCCUGAACCAGCCAAGUAGCGUGCAGGAAGACGGCCCUAUGGGUUGUAAACUGCUUUUAUAGGGAAUAAAGUGAGCACGUGUGGUUUUUUGCAUGUACCCUAUGAAUAAGGACCGGCUAAUUCCGUG